RNAcentral lists this long non-coding RNA (446 nucleotides) under Cyanistes caeruleus (blue tit). Its description in RNAcentral is "lncRNA (ENSCCEG00000000085.1)". The record is from RNAcentral. Lineage: Eukaryota; Metazoa; Chordata; Aves; Passeriformes; Paridae.
AAAUCAUACUUUUCUCUUGUUUUCUAUAUAUAGGCUGGGGAUGUUUUUAAAAUCCUCCCACCAACCUGCCAAAUCACAGGAUGGAGUUCUCAGUGUCUCCUUUCCAUUGAAUGUUUUGCCACAUGCAAACUUUCAUCUUUUCAGUAUACUUUUGGAUUCUGCUAGGCUUACUUUCAAAGGUUAAAAGAAUGGAGUGUACUGGAGUCAGGAAAGCUCAGUGUUGGUUCACCAGCAUUGCAUUUCUGCACCAGUCAUAGCUGAUAAGUUCAAAACCACAUCAGGUAGGUUUCCAGGGGUGCAAGCCACGGAGACCUGGUACACUCUGCUGAUUGUGAAGUGAAGCCUAAUCCUGAGUUAAAACACAAAGUUUUACAGAUGUUGUGAUGAGAAUUUUUUGUCUGAUUUUAACUGUAUCCACUGUCACAUUUCAGAAACCACUGUUAACC